This 374-nucleotide ribosomal RNA is filed under the name uncultured bacterium. Its description in RNAcentral is "bacterial SSU rRNA". It matches the Rfam family "Bacterial small subunit ribosomal RNA", at positions 524 to 898 of the family's 1533-position model. The record is from RNAcentral.
UACAGAGGGUGCAAGCGUUAAUCGGAAUUACUGGGCGUAAAGGGCGCGUAGGCGGUCAUGCGAGUGUGAUGUGAAAGCCCCGGGCUUAACCUGGGAAGCGCAUCGCAAACGGCUUGACUGGAGUAGAUGAGAGGGUGGCGGAAUUUCCGGUGUAGCGGUGAAAUGCGUAGAGAUCGGAAGGAACGUCAAUGGCGAAGGCAGCCACCUGGCAUCAUACUGACGCUGAGGCGCGAAAGCGUGGGGAGCGAACAGGAUUAGAUACCCUGGUAGUCCACGCUGUAAACGAUGAGGACUGGAUGUUGGCAGGGAGACCUGUCAGUAUCGAAGCUAACGCGAUAAGUCUUCCGCCUGGGAAGUACGGCCGCAAGGUUGAA